GACGAACGCUGGCGGCGUGCUUAACACAUGCAAGUCGAACGGAAAGGCCCCUUUGGGGGUCCUCGAGUGGCGAACGGGUGCGUAACACGGGAGUAACCUUCCCUUUAUUUCUGGAUAACUUGAGGAAACUGGGGCUAAUACCGGAUAGGAAUCCUUGCUCCAUGGUGGGGGUUGGAAAGCUUCUGCGGUUUUGGCUGGACUCGCGGCUUAUAGGCUUGUUGGUGGGGUAGUGGCUUACCAAGGCUUUGACGGGUAGCCGGCCUGAGAGGGUGACCGGCCACACUGGGACUGAGAGACGGCCCCGACUCCGACUGGAGGAAGCAGGGGGGAAUCUUGCACCAUGGGCGGCAGGCUGAUGCAGCAAGGCCGCGUGCGGGAUGACGGUCUUCGGGUUGUAAAACGCUUUCAGCAGGGGCGAAGCUUGUGGUGACGGUACCUGAAGAAGAAGCACCGGCUAACUACGUG
RNAcentral lists this ribosomal RNA (465 nucleotides) under uncultured bacterium. RNAcentral describes it as "partial 16S ribosomal RNA". It matches the Rfam family "Bacterial small subunit ribosomal RNA", at positions 28 to 507 of the family's 1533-position model. The record is from RNAcentral.